GAUGAACGCUGGCGGCGUGCUUAACACAUGCAAGUCGAACGGAAAGGCCCAAGCUUGCUUGGGUACUCGAGUGGCGAACGGGUGAGUAACACGUGGGUGAUCUGCCCUGCACUUCGGGAUAAGCCUGGGAAACUGGGUCUAAUACCGGAUAGGACCACUUCUUGGAUGUUGUGGUGGAAAGUUUUUUCGGUGUGGGAUGAGCUCGCGGCCUAUCAGCUUGUUGGUGGGGUAAUGGCCUACCAAGGCGUCGUCGGGUAGCCGGCCUGAGAGGGUGUACGGCCACAUUGGGACUGAGAUACGGCCCAGACUCCUACGGGAGGCAGCAGUGGGGAAUAUUGCACAAUGGGCGCAAGCCUGAUGCAGCGACGCCGCGUGGGGGAUGACGGCCUUCGGGUUGUAAACUCCUUUCGCUAGGGACGAAGCGUUUUGUGACGGUACCUGGAGAAGAAGCACCGGCUAACUACGUG
RNAcentral lists this ribosomal RNA (467 nucleotides) under uncultured bacterium. RNAcentral describes it as "partial 16S ribosomal RNA". It matches the Rfam family "Bacterial small subunit ribosomal RNA", at positions 28 to 507 of the family's 1533-position model. The record is from RNAcentral.